GACGAACGCUGGCGGCGUGCUUAACACAUGCAAGUCGAACGGAAAGGCCCUGCUUUUGUGGGGUGCUCGAGUGGCGAACGGGUGAGUAACACGUGAGUAACCUGCCCUUGACUUUGGGAUAACUUCGGGAAACUGGGGCUAAUACCGGAUAGGAGCUCCUGCUGCAUGGUGGGGGUUGGAAAGUUUCGGCGGUUGGGGAUGGACUCGCGGCUUAUCAGCUUGUUGGUGGGGUAGUGGCUUACCAAGGCUUUGACGGGUAGCCGGCCUGAGAGGGUGACCGGCGAGAUUGGGACUGAGAUACGGCGCAGACUCGUACGGGAGGCAGCAGUGGGAAAUAUGGAACACUGGGCGGACGACUCAUGCAGCAACGCGGCGUGCGGGAUGACGGCAUUCGGGUUGUAAACCGCUUUAGCCUGUGACGAAGCGUGCGUGACGGUAAUGGGUAAAGAAGCCCCGGCUAACUACGUG
This 468-nucleotide ribosomal RNA is filed under the name uncultured bacterium. RNAcentral describes it as "partial 16S ribosomal RNA". It matches the Rfam family "Bacterial small subunit ribosomal RNA", at positions 28 to 507 of the family's 1533-position model. The record is from RNAcentral.